Molecule: transfer RNA, 72 nt
Filed under: Fomitopsis schrenkii
Lineage: Eukaryota; Fungi; Basidiomycota; Agaricomycetes; Polyporales; Fomitopsidaceae
Description: tRNA-Pro (CGG) (tRNA-Pro-CGG-3-1)
Rfam family: tRNA
About the family: Transfer RNA (tRNA) molecules are approximately 80 nucleotides in length. Their secondary structure includes four short double-helical elements and three loops (D, anti-codon, and T loops).
Source: RNAcentral
GGCUCAAUGGUCUAGUCGUAUGAUUCGCGCUUCGGGUGCGCGAGGUCCCGAGUUCAAUUCUCGGUUGAGCCC